RNAcentral lists this long non-coding RNA (38837 nucleotides) under Linum usitatissimum (flax). Its description in RNAcentral is "long non-coding RNA (LUSI_LNC006001)". The stretch from base 26658 to 26736 matches the Rfam family "Small nucleolar RNA Z122". The record is from RNAcentral. Lineage: Eukaryota; Viridiplantae; Streptophyta; Magnoliopsida; Malpighiales; Linaceae.
UUUCUCUUUCUAGAGCUGGUGAGAGAGUGGUCGUUCAAAUCCUGACAAACUAUCGCAAUGUUCCCUUUUAAAGCACCUGAAUCCUGAAAACUCUUUUCUUAAUAUCUUUUGCAAAGACUGACUCACCACAUCAUUUUUUUCUAGACACUCACCUACUGCCCCAUGAAAGACUAGUACCGUUACAUGUGUCGACUCACCUUCUCCCCUCUGAGGUUCGUGACGCCUCUGAGGAGUAGGUAGCAUACCGUUAGGGUUACAAGAAAACCGGGCUCUAAUACUAGUUGUCAAACCCCACCCUAGGAGUCCCAGUCAAACCACUAGUUCAACCGAUGAGUCUUACUCAGUUUUUAACUUGAACCACACUCAACUCUAGGCUACUAAUAAAAACAUUAAGACAAGCAUUAACAGCUUAAACUGAACACUUCAAUAAAAUUGACAAACUAGGAUCCGAAAUCCCAAAACACAACAAAUCAAAAAGAGAUGCAACUCCAGUUUAAAAAUACAUAAAAAUUAUAUCCUCUAAUAUAUAAAAACCAACCAGCUUUCUCCCCUCCAUCAGCUCCAAUACCUGUGACUGAACACAUAGAUAUGCCAAGAAAAACAAGUCUAAUGGGGUUAGUGAUAACCAUUGAGUGGCUAAACUAGGCUCGCAUAAAACUGCAACUAUACUAAGAAAAUAGGGCAAGAAUCAAGUAAUGUGACUCUGCGGUCCUGUAGGGAUCAUCCUAUCAAUAGUCACCCCUAACUAGUAGCUGAUAGCCUCAUGAAGGAUCAUACCAUGAAACCACCCGUUGAUACCGUGUGAGCAGCAUCUGUACGCAUACUCCACACAUCUUGCAUGACCGUAGAAACAUCCUGGGGGAUUUUGCAAUCCAUGGGUGGGUGACCAACACACAUAAGGAGCUAAUCUAGCUAAAUCUGAAUUUUGUCCUAAGCAUGAACUGUGAACCACAGUUCAAAUGUCAUGAGCUUAUGCUCGAACUUAAACAACUACCUGUUCAGUAGAUCACACGCUACUGCACAGUGUAUGAGCCCGACUCUGUUUCAUAACCCAUGUAUAGUAGAUGACACGCUAUUGCACAGUCUUGAGAGCCCGGCUCCGAAACACAACACAUGUACCGUAGAUCACACGCUACUGUACAGUCCUGAGAAUCCGAUCAUCGCAUUCCUGACAAUCCUAAUUACAGUUAUAUGCUUAAGUCAAAAAGUAAUCCUAACCCUCACCUAUUAAGAAGGGAUGGCAUUUCUGAUUCUCACUUGACAUGAUUCCUCUCACUGCCACUAAUCUAUAGCUUCUGACCGUGCAUCAUUUGGAGUUUAACCAAUUGAGUUAUACUCCAUUUACUUGUAGCAAUCUGAAACUUGCUAGGACAGAAACGUGGCGCUAAUCCUCCAACUGCCUCCAUUACACUAACUGAUCCAAAACUUCUACUCAUUGACAAAACUAACCCAAGUCCUUAACUAUAAAACAUCCAAAAGUUCAAAGUUGCUAAAGGUCCUCAACGCGUCCUACACACCACCAAAGCCGUUGCACCCUUGCCGAACGCGGAUGGCGCCACCGCUACUGCUAUUCCUAAAGCUCCGCCUUGAAUCUCCUCAAUCUCCUCCGAAAUAGUGAUCGGCACCGCCACAACUCCAUCCUCGUUUGCCCUCGAUCGAUGGAAUUCAAAAUCCUCACCUCUUGGCGUCAAAACUAAUGGCAACAAGUAACUUACCCUGCUCAUCGUCUCAGUGCAUCACCAGUUAGAUCAUGGAAGGGAAGUUAAACCAUUCUCCCACUUGAUGGUAAUGGGGCCCAACUCCACAAUCUGAUCCAUCAUACGGCCCAAGGCCCACCUCAACUUUAAUUGGACUCAAGGCCAUAAUUUAAGCCUAGGGUGGCAGUCCUCACCCUUCACUUGAAUGGUUCAAGUCCUAUCCAGAGCUAUAAAAUCAAUCUAACGGUCUAGAAAUCUUCGAGUUCAUAACUAACAAUUCACAGGCUUAACCCCUCUUCUGAUGGACUUAGUCAACCCAAUAACUAUCUCGAGCCUUACAAAUCUUUAAUACUUGGUCAAUUGCUGAGUCAACUCAUCAAAUUAAUUAAAUUAAUUCAUUUUUCAACUUCCGACUUCUACUCAACGAGUAAGUUUUGAAUCAAAAAAAAUUUUAACCGAACCAAAAAUUGAGGUGUCACAAUUGUCUACAGUAUGCUUAGCUUAUACAUGUGAUGGUUAGACAGUUAUGUUCAUGUUUCUACUUGAUGAUGUGAAAUUCAUUAAACUAAGAUAAGUUGUUAAACUAUAAUAAGUCCUUAAAUUAUGAUAAGUCAUGUUCAUGAGAUCCAUGUUAUGGCAUGUCUUUUUUCCAGGAUUAAUGCUCCCAUUAUGUCCAUCAUAUUCAUGUUACGGUUAGGUAGUUAUGUCAUGUUAUGUAUUAUUUAAUGAUGUGCAAGUUGUACCCUCGAAUUAUGAUAAGUCAUGUCAUGUCUCCCUGAUAAGGGUUUAUCUCAUUUUCAUGUGAUCCAUGUUAUGGUUAAGUGGUUAUGUCAUGAUAUGUUGGGUUAUUACAUGAUGAUGUGCAAGAUGUGCCUUGAAUUAUGAUAAGGCUAGACUACUUCAAGGUUAGGGUGUGAUAUGUCUACAUGACUAGUGAGUAGUGAAUAAGUACACGUUACUUAGACAAGUAAUGUGUAUUAGAAACAUGUAACUUUCUGGCUAGACCACCACCCCCUAUGUUGUGAUCUCAUGGUACCGUCUGAUGGAUACAUACUCACGGACUCUCACGUUCACGUUUGGGCCGGUAUUGCCCCUCAUGUUACCGUCUGACUGAUACGUACUCGCAGACUCUCACGUUCAUAUUUGGGCUGAUAUUGCCCCAUGUUUCUCACGUUUGGGCCACAUUUUUCCCCUUAUGUUACCGUCUGAUGGAUACAUAGUCCCAAACUCUCACGUUCACAUUUGGGUGUUGGACUAGUUAGUUGAGUUGGGGGGGGACGUCCCGCUAUUGAAAGUUCAAGUGAUAAGAUACCUCAGAUAAGUUCAUGUACAAGUAUGUCAAGUUCAAGGGAUAAGAUAACUUAGAUAAGAUCAAGUAUAAGAUUCAAUGUUAUGUGUUUUCAUGUUCGCUAAGUGAUGUUGGUGAUAAUGACCACCUGAUAUGAUAUGUUCAGUGAUUGUCAUGUGCUGAUGUGUUGUGAUAUGUUCAAAUGUUUCUUAGAUGUGAUAACUAUGUGUUGGGAUAAAUAUUCAUGUAAUGAUGUGUUCCUUAUGUUCCAAUGUGCCAUGGAUUUGAUGACUAGUUGUGAUCAAUAUUCAUGCAGUGAUGUGUUCCUUAUGUUCCAAUGUUCCUUUAGAAUGGAUUAGAGGUUCAACCUUUGAUGAUGACUAUGUUACUUGCCAUGUUGAGUUCUCAUGUGUUAGGAUUACACAAAGAUGGAUACUAUAUCUUAUAUGCCUACUUAGCUAGUAUCAAUGAUGCCUUAUACAAUGAUAUGUUUUUGUCUUCCCUAUGUUCUAGCAUGAUACUCAUGUUAUGUGUCUACAUAACUAAGUCAGAAUAUGUUGUGGUUAGAUAACUAGAAAGCAUGUCCCUAAGUAAAGGCAAUGUUUGAAUAUAGCAAUGUCUGAUUAAGGUGAUGUCUGAAUAAGGUAAUGUCUGAUUAAGAUGAUGUCUGAAUAGUUUGAUGUCUGGAUGAGUUGAUGUUUGAAUAAUUUUGAUAUUGUUAAACUUAAGUUGGAAAUCAUAUGUGUUAUAUUAGAGCAUAAUAGACUAACCCCAGAACCACCCACUAGGGUGUUUCUAAGUUGAUGCAGUAGUAGAGUUGAGCUGAUUCGGAUGUGCAGCGAUGGACUUGGUAUUCAAUGUCGGGUUUGAGUUUCAAGUGUUUAUUCUGAGACUUGAUUCUUUUCAUGUUGUCUUAUGUUGGAGCACUCUCCGCUUUUGUUAAAGCAGAUGAUCAUUUUCUAUCUUUUUGGUUGUUCUAUUUAAAUAAAGUUUUUGAAAUUCCUUUGAGUUGAGUCCCUAUAGGGCAAUUUGGUUAUUAAAUAAAUAGAAAGUUUUUGGGGUGUGUCACAAGCGCCCGCGACAAAGAGUAAAACCUGCGACCAUUGUAUGAGCGCUAAUGGAUUUAUUCAAACGUUGUCGCAGUCCGCCUAAAACAAGAGCUCGACUGCGAUAAACAUAGUGAAUGACUACCCUUCAGCAGCCGAUCUCCACUCAUUCCACACAGCUUCAACUCUCCUCCCAUCUGAAAUCCUCCUAUUCCUCUCAAUUUCCUCCAUCGAUUUUCUCCUCUUCUCUUCUCCAAUUUUGUCACCCCGACUUCCACCCUUUUCUCGAAAUCGCCAAUAUCAGCUUACUGUUACUAACAAGAAGCAUAAGAGUUCGAUUUUGAUAUAGUUGUGUCGGGCAAUCGCAUUGUGUUUGAGUUGAAGAAUCAGGGGGUUAAACCUGUAGGUCCACUUCAUUCCUUCAUGGGAUACUACAUAAGUGAGUGUACAAGAAAUUAUGCUUACUACCCGGUCUCUCCAAUCGAAUGGAAGAAGUUGUCGCCCCAAUUGAAGACACGGGCUUGGGAGCAGUUUGUGCUAGUAAGUAUUAUUUUAGUUUUUUUAAUUAGAUAUAUUUUUGUAGUUAAAAUUGUAACUAGUUAGUGCUUAAUUGAUUUAUAUUAUAAACCUCUUUUCACAUUGAGGCGAAUGAGAUGGUUGAAGCUCGCAAAUAUUGGGAUCGCAAUGUUGGAAGACUGUUGGGGGAAGUCAAGGAUCACAAUUUGGCAAGCUUAGUUGAAGCAUGCACAAAUAAACCAACUCCCUCCAUAGUGGAUUAUGAAUAAUUCCUUGACAGGUUGUCCAAUGGCUGAUUGGAUAACGUACUUGUUGCGAGUUAACGACAAGUAGUUCGAGAUAGUACAUAUAUUUACAGAUUUCUAAUUGUAUUUGAUUGUAGUUUUUAAUACCGACUCAAGAACUUUUAUGUGCUUGAGUCAUAUCAAAUCAAGCCGCUCAAAUGGAAAACCAUAAAGGAGGGAGAAGGCCAUGUGAUACAUAUGUCAAGGAAACCAUUGAGAAGAUGGGUAAGCCACCUUCUCUACGCCAGAAGUUCAUAAAGUUCUUCCACUAACUAGAUGGAAGUUACAAAUCAGAACAUGGAAUACUUGUGGUGGUAAUGACUAGUUUCCAUAUAUAUAAUAGAUAUAGCUUUAAACUAGAAGACAAUAGAAUUAAUUGAACAUCUGUUAUGUAGGAGACUAUCAGCAACUAGAGCGGGAAGGAGCACCGACUGAGGUUGGGCCUAAUGACUCAUUGGCUCAAACACUAAACAAGCCAAAGCAUCGAGGCCACGUUCGGAUGAUGAGUUUGGGGUUUACCCCACAAUGGUAAUAAUGUUCAAUUUCAAAUUUGUUCUUUCUUGGGUCGUUAGUGUUUGUACCUUGUUUGGUGAUAUUUGUACUGUUUUUUCUUUAAGGUAUUUGGUGGUGCUAGCACUUGUUCAUCAUCAUCAUCAGCUCCUUCUGCCUCUGGGAAUGCAAGUGUGUCCUCAAAUGCUGCUCCUAGUGCUCCCCCUCCCUUACGAGAAGAGUUUGAUUGGAUGUCGUAGCAGAUGGCAUUGAUGUUGCAACAGUUGGCUACAAUGUAUUACAUGAUGUCGUCGGAGCUCGCCGGUGCUUUUACCUAAGUUUUGACUCCUGGGAUAGUUCCUGGUACUCCAUUCAAUCCAAGUCCUCUAUAUCUGUAUUAGGAGCCUAUGCAGCAGCAACAACCAUCUCAACAAUAGCAACAAGCUCAUGAGACCAAUCUUAUGGGUUACUUCCCAUUCUCUCAAGAAGCCAAAAAUCAGUUUCGCCUUCAUGGGAUGAUGGCGAAGCCUUUUCUUCCCUUCUUCAUACAUUAGAAAGAGUGAGUUUUAUAAUUAGUUUCUUGAAAUUUCAAUUAGAAUUCAUGUUUGUACUUACUUGUGUUUUUUAUGUUUAUAUAUAGGUCCCCAUUCCAGACACGAGGGAGCAACGAGAUGAUGAUGAUUGUUCGUAGUUGUAUUUCUAGUUAGUUCUAGCUCUCUCCCCAUCCCUAUUCCCAUAUAUUAUGUAGUAUUUGAAACUUCUAAGAUAGUUUCUUAAGAUAAUUUCUUAACGUUUGCAUAUUAAUGUUUGUUAUUGUAGUUUGGAAUUAUUACAUGAGAUGGUAAUUAUGGAAUUAUUAUGUGUUAUUAUGGAAACCUAAAAACUGCUCUAAAUUCUAAAAUUCUGCUCUAAAUUCUAGAACAUUGAAAAAGCUCUAUAACUGCAAAGGUAGAUCAAUUUGAAAGUGAUAGGUGGCACCAUACCAGAAUAGACACAUCUCCAGCAUUAUUGUAAUAGGCUAGUCGCAGGCCCUUUCUCGCAAGUGUUGACUACGAUUGGCCGGUCACUGGUAGCGCCUGUGAUAAAGCGCCUACAACCAGCCAAUCGCAGCCAACGGCUACGACAAGGCGAGCUUUGUCACAUCAAUAAUUGUCGCAUGCCUAUUUCUAUUUGUCGCAUGCACUGUAUGUAACCAUCCUUCUAUUUUAUGGCAGGCUGGCCUGCGACAUUGUUUUGUUUUUGCUUGUGACUGUUUUCCCUUUUUAUUGCAGUGUAAGUUAUACACUUUCAUGCAUUAUUACGUGUUGAAGAUGGAUUCUAACGUGAUUUUGAAAGCUCCUAGACCGAAACGAGUGACCAUUUAGUUUGAUUCUUUUAGUAAUGUGUAAAUGAAAAGUCUACAUGCUAAAUAUAAAUUCAUAAAUUUGUUCUCAAUAAUAAAAAGUUUACUAGUUAAGAAUAGUUGAAAUAUUGAUGGACGAUGUUAAGUUCAUCCUUCCAUAAAUUUAAUUCACAAACUUAAAAUGAUUCGUAAGUGAAAUGUUAGUAUUAAGACGUUCACAGAUGAAAACAACAAAGAUUGAACAUCAAACUGUAAAGAUAAAAAUAAACUGUAUCUCAUAUUAUUUGGAAUUAAGNNNNNNNNNNNNNNNNNNNNNNNNNNNNNNNNNNNNNNNNNNNNNNNNNNNNNNNNNNNNNNNNNNNNNNNNNNNNNNNNNNNNNNNNNNNNNNNNNNNNNNNNNNNNNNNNNNNNNNNNNNNNNNNNNNNNNNNNNNNNNNNNNNNNNNNNNNNNNNNNNNNNNNUAAUAUAAUACUCAUAAGUGGACAUAACAUAGACAUAAUCCACCUAUAAAGUGGACACAAUGAUUAUAUAUAUAAUUUUAUCAUAAUAUGAACAUAACAGUGACAUAAUUUACUUAUAAAUGUAACAUAAUAGUGAAUUAACAUACUCAUAAGGUGAAUAUAAUAGGGACAUAAAAUGUUCGUAAACCAAGCCUAAAAGAUGCCUAAUAAACUUAUAACUUAGACAUAACAUAGGCAUAAAAGAAUUGCAGUAGUACUGAUAUUUAGGUUAUGUAGCAUAAUAGCCUAAAACAAGUGGUCUACUCAAAACACUAAAAAUUGAUAUAUAAUCGUAAUAUAAUUGUUCUAUGACAGUUAUCCGUUAUUAACAUAGAAGUUGUACAAACAUAUUGUGACACCUUGAUUUUGGGUUGAGUAUGAUUCUAGGAUAGUAUUGGUUUUUGUGAGUCGGUGAGAAUCACUGUCAGACGGUCCGUCACGGGCGUAUCGGACAGUCUCUCAUAGGCGUGAUCAUCAGGUAGAUCAUGAUCGUGGUCAAUGAUAGUCACGAACGUGGCAGCCGGAGGAUGACGGCCGUGACCAUCAGUAGGUCAUGGACGUGGUUUCCAUGUCACAACGGGUGAGGUAAGCAGUACGCCAUGGGUGUGGUGGACAACUUAUGAAACCUAAUUUUCUUCUUCCUUGCAAACUUCUGACGAGCGACGAUUGUUCCAGGCACAGGGGAAAGUCUUGUUGAUCGAUCCAGACCAGUAGGAGAGGCCUAGAGAUCAUCGAGGAAGCUUUAGGAGGUAAUCUACCUUCUUCCUCGUUCGUCAAUCCUUUUCUUUGAAUCCCAUGUAGGAAAAUCCUGACAGGUUUGGAUUUGGAGUUUUGGGAUUUCAAUUUUAUGAUUGUUCCCUUCAGGUUAUAUGGAUUAGGCAAGCAAACUCUAGGUUUCAGAUCAUACUCUUCAGAGGAAAGCUUUCAGAGGUAGGGGUUAGGAUUACUUUUCUGCUUUAUGCGAAGAAUUGUAAUUAGUUGUCAGGAAUCCUUGUUUGGAUUUUCAGAAUUGUACAAUAGUGUGCGAUCUACUGUAUAGAAAGAUUUGUUAUGCAGUUUAGAGUUUCGGGUUGUACAAUAGCGUGUGAUCUACUGCAUAGGCAGAUGGUUAUGAUUCGAGCAUAAGCUCACAACGAGAAACUAUGCAUUUAUACAGUUCAUGUUAGGAUUAAGAAUCAGAACUAGAAUAUACUAGCUCACGAUAUACGUUGGUCACCCACCCUAUAGAUUGUGCGAUCCCCGAGGCUACAUUUACUUUCAGGUAGGACUUGACGAUAAUGCCUUCAGUUGCUGCUCUCACGGUCUGAUCCACCAUGAGGUCAUCCGCUCAUAGCUAGGGGUGGCUAAUGUUAGGAUAAUACCUAGAGGACCACAUGGUCACAUUACUAGAUACUAGUUCAGUUUUUCAUGUUCAGGGUCAGCUGCUCAGUGCUUAUCACUGACCUUGUUACAUUUCAUUAUACAUGAUCAACCUUGGGACUUCAGGAGCCAAUGCCGCUUAAGAAAGGAGCAUGAGUAGUGACACCACCUCGCAGUGAGUCUGGGAGUCACACAGAGAGGUACCAUCGAGUACCUCAGCUGUCUCUUUCAGUGUUUUCAUAGUUUUAAGACAGUCUUUCAUGUUUUUUCAGUUGUUUGUGAGACUUAUUUUACAGUGGUUGUUUUCCCAGGUUUGGGAUGUCUUUUAGUGAUGUUCAUUUUUGAAUUCGAGCCAUGAUGCUCUGUUUAUUUUUUGCUGUCGUUUUACUUAAGUAUUGAGGAUUUUCAGUUCAGUUAAUGUAUGUCAGUUGUUAUGAUAUAAGUUUGAGUGAACCCAUGAGCAAUGCAUGGAUAGAACCGUGUGGUUUGAUCGAGUCAUCUAGGGGUGGGUUUCACACAUAUUAGUUAUAUUAUGUGACAUUAUAAUAAAUAAUAAAGGGAAUAUUGUCAUUUACCCUCUUUUACUUCACCCAACUCGCAUUAAGCCCUCUAUACAAUUCAAUGUUCCAUUAACCCCUACACAUUGCCCACUUUACCAUUCGUCUCCUUCCGUUACGCUUUCCAUAUGUACACCGUUAAAACCAUACAACUCAACAUGCCAUGUAAGUUUUUCGGCACCACAUCAGCGUUUAAUUCCUUUAACAAUUCAUGAAAUAUAAAAAAUUCCAGACACCCUUCUUUCUUCACUCUUCUCCACUCGACCCCCAACCUUUCUCACAUCCGAUGCAGCCGAACUUCGCCCCGAGGGUGAACACAAGGAGAGGAGGGUUGCUAGAUUUUGGGUGUUGUUUUUGCACUCAAAUCCGAUUCAAAAGAAAUAUUGGCCACACUGGAAAAAAGUUAUGGUUUGAUCAUCCUCUAAACAUUCGUAGCAGUGUAAUUCAAGGUCUUAAAUUGGCUACCACUACCAAUUGGAAAGUGAGCAAGCCAAUUUGUAGCGAACACCAAGUGUUCAACAAAAUUCUUAGAUGCUAAAAGACUCUUACUGGCAUCACAAACACUUGACAAGGGUGCUAAGUCACUAUUUGACACCCCCUAACAUUCCAAUCACCUAAAUUGUCACUACCUAAGUGAUUACCAAAAUGCACUCAAGGUGUUAGAUAAAAUGCCACUAAGAGAAUCCUCACACUAAUGGUUGAAUUGGGGUGUGUGCUUGGUCCACACACCCUUACCCCAAUCUUGGACUACACACUUACUCAAGUCAAGCACAAUUAAGUAAUUGAAAGAGUACAUUUGACCUAGAACAAGCCAUAGCACAUUCUAAGUUGCAAUAACCAUAGUCCAACCAUUCUCAAAUACCAUAAUCCAUAUCUAACAUGUAUCCAAAUCCUCGUCAUGAGGGGAUCAUCCUAGUACAUAGCAAUACCCUAAUCUAACAACUAAAGAGUCUAGCCACUCAUCAUGACACUAAAACUAAAGAAAAGGGAUACAAUCACCAUCAAUCAACUAGUAUGAAGAAGAUGAUGAGGGUAGGAUCCUUCCUCAAAGCUCUACUAUUCCAAUUCCUUCAAUCCUUGGUCUUCUCUAGCUCCGAAGCUUCUUCAAGGUCUUCAAUUGAUCUUCUAAGGCUUCAAAUUGGGUGAAAAUCGAGAGAGGAGUCGGGUCUCAACAAUUGUUAUGACUGUAGUGUGAAUUGUUCGUCCAAUCUCCAUGGACCAUAUGCCAUGUGGACCAACACGGGCUCCAGAUGCCAUGUGGCCUAAUUUCCAGCUUAGGACUUUGUUCUUUGAUCGCACAUAUCUCCCUCGUCCGACCUCCGUUUGAGCUCUGGUUGGUCUCAUUGGAAUUUUCUCGUUGUUCUUUAUGCAUCGGAUACCUACAGCCUCAUAUAUACAAUGAGAAACGAGGUCGAACGGACCAAAAUGAUCCAUUUGACAAAAUGAAACAAGAACCCCUUUUUUUCUUCCAACCAAUCACAAAGGAGGGUCAAAACUAGGUCAAACAAGGUAAAAAACAGUCAAGAUGUGGUCAAAUUGGCAACAAAUAAUCGUGCUAUCACAUCCCCCCACACUUGAACGUUGCUUUUCCUCAAGCAAAUCUACUAAUCACACUCAAAGAGAACUCGAAACAGGGUGAAAAGAAAAUAUUUCCUAGCAUUUCAAGCCUAUUUCACGAUGCCAAGAUUGCAAGUCAAUCACCAAACCACUCAAUUAUGUAUAAGACAUUGAAUCCCUUAAAAAAUUUCACACCAAACUCUAAUAUAUAGAUAUUAUGAUUAGAUACCUAAACAAGCGAAUGUACUAAAGUUUCUCCAAUGCACUUAUGUCAUAUGGUACUAGCGGAAGAAAUGGACAGACAGACGGUCCUGGCUGGGUAUUUUUCCCGUCUUGAGGGAGGGGAUGCCUGAUCUAACAUAAACAUAACUAUCACCAAGUAUACUAGCAUCUCCCUCUUCUUUUACUCUACUUUGCUUUCUUUUGUAUUUAGUUUUCAACUAUCUUUUCUCCCUCUUUUUUUUCACAUGGAUGCUUUUUCCAAAUGAGGUGGUUGUGAUUCCAAUUAGGCUCAGAUCCGGUGAAUACCGGGCACCAGUACCGCAAUCCACACAUCGAAGGGUUGAGAAGAGGAGCCCGAGGUGUUGAGCAUACGAGUGGCAGAUCGAAAUCUACCUUGCGUGUUUGAAUCACAACCUUCCUCCAUAUCAUUCUUAAGCACAUUGGCCUCCUGUCCAUUUUGACUUCAUAAUACCAUAGACAAGUUCAAAAAGGAGAAUCAAUCAUACAUAUCGAGCAAGUAAAGGUGAAAACUCAAAACAUCCAUAUGUGCGAGUUUGAAGCAAACUAAUUUCAGGAAAAUGGGAGGUAGUCCACAAAUGAUUACUCAACAACCUAUUCGUCCUCAAGUAGUAUGAAUAAACUAGGUAUGCAUCCAAAGAGAUUCACAUAUUCAAAUUUGAGAGGGAGUAUCAAAAUUCAAGAGCAAGUCAGAAAAAAUGCUACCAAGAUAUGCACAAAAAUUCUCAAACCCGAAUAGUAUAAAAAAAUCCUCCCCCCCCCCACACUUGUACAACACAUUGUCCUCAAUGUGAAAAGAUAUAAGGGGAAGAGGGGUACCAAACGGGGGUGAGGAGUGAAGCCGGAUGAGAAGAUGAAGGAUCAAGAUCGAGUACCUAGAGUUUCACAAAAGGCAAGAACAAAAAAAAAACAAAAAAAAAACGCAGAAACAAACACGAAUAAUGGUCGAGUCAAGAGAAAAGAAGAUAUCUCAAGGCCGUCGAGGAGCUGUCUCAACAAGAAUCCAAUCCACUUAGGCAAGAGUAUACAAGAAUGUGCACAAGUAGAUAUGGAAGAGGCAAGAUGCAUAAGAUAUGCAUAACCAAUAAAGAAGAUAACUAGUUAUUCUCAACCAAGACUAACUAGCAAUCCUAAACAAGAGCAUCCUAUAAUCCAUAAAUGAGUAAGACAAGGGUGAGAAAAAGCUAUGGAACCAUCUCAACUCAUUUAGAAUCAAUUCCAGAAAGUUAUCAUCACAAACGUGUACCAAGUCCAAUCAACAAGAAUGAGCAUAAAGAGUGUAUGCAAAGCAUCAAGUGAACAAAGUAUGCAUCAUUCAACUAUAAUCAAUUUGAGAGCUCAAUGGACUACUAGUAUGCAUCAUUCUUCUUUGACUCAUUAACCAAAACAAUGAGCACAUAUGGAUAAUCAAAAGUAGUGGCAUGAUCAAAAUUCAAGCAUUAGAAGCAAUGAGCAAAGUCACAAUCAUCAAUUCAAUAAUUGGACGCAUCAAAUUCACCUAGCAACAACCUAGGUUCAACCAUACAAGGGAGCACAAAGAUGCAAUUCCAAAUUCUCAUCGCAAGAAUUCAACAACCCACAUAAUUCUUGUUCAAAAAUAUCAUAUUGGCAAAGCUAGACAUUCAAGUAGGCACAACCAUCUGAAACUGGCAAUUGCAAUGUUCAAAUUAGCACAAAAGCAUCAUUUGACCAAAUUUGACCACAAUUCAAACUUUCCACACACUCCAUCAAUCAAACCAGAGCAAACAGAACACAGACGACACAGAUUCAGGCCACAUCAUCAACCAAAAAGUCGUAGGCAGUCAAACGAGCUUUCCAACGCCGCUGGUCUUGCGAAAAACAAACGCUCGAGCAAGAAGUUAUGCUCAAAAUACCGAACCACAGCAUUUUUUCGCACAAGGCGACCAAUCAACGGAGGGUCAACGUCCGGUGAACCGGUCUGGUCAAACUCAGGUUGGUUCGGUUUGAAAAUCGGUUAAACAAUGCACCCCCUUCUUUGAAUAGUGCAUCUUGGCACAUUUUUAACACAAUCGAGCACGUUUCGGAGCUGGAAAUUCAAGUUUUUUUUUAGAAAACCCAUUGGAACUGUAGAUUUUGCAUAAAAAGUACGCUUUAGCCUUUUGUUUCCAAAAUCAAGCAAAUUUUAGGAUCUGAAAGUUCAAUUUUUUCAGAAAACCCGUAGGAAGUGUAGAUUUUUCAUAAAAGUAAGUCUGAGCAUAUUUUUUAGUAAAACAACCAUUUUUUAGCUCUCGAAAAUAUAAAAAUUUCAAGACUGCUUUUUUUCUUUUUCCUAAUGCAACGAAACUUCCUGCUAGCCUUAGGCACACUAAGAUAAGAUCAAGCAAAUCUCCAAACACUCGUUCUCUCGUCCCGGUCAUCACAAGAACACAAGAAACAAAAACACAAACAAAACACGACAAACACACAAUCAUGCAAGUUUUAUUCAAUUUUCCUACUCCUAAGCUACACUAUUCAUGACGAGACACCUAUGGUAUCACCAACUUGGUAAUGUUCAAGAUGCAUCCCACAAAGUAGAAGAGGGUCAAGAUGAGUAGAGGAGGUUACCUCGAUCUUGGAAGGAACGAACUUUUGUUACCAUAAAGGGGCCGGAGAUGAGGACUCUAUCGCCCUCUUUGAGUGCUUGUUUGGUGGGGAGGUGCAAAUCAUGGAGUUGCUUGAUCGCUUUCUUGCAACUCCCAUCCUUGACCUUGUGGACACUUUUUUGGUGAGAAGAAGGAUUCUUGGGCUCAAGGUCUGGUGGUUCUUCAUGCAUGUUCCUCGCCUUAGCAUGCACUCCCUUGAUCGAGAUAGCUUCGGUUUCCUUAUUAUACUAUUUCACACACUCGCUCAAGGAUGGAUCCAAGGCUUCAUGAUGAAGAGAUACAUUAAUAGCAUAAACUAAAGCCAUUUCAACGGGCUCGCCAAUAUCAUUAUCAUCUUGAGGAUCCGGGUGCUCCAUACCCCCGAUCAAUUGAAAUGUGGCUUCCUUUUGACCCACUCUCAAGGUAAGCUUACCCUCAAACACAUCUAUGAUUUCCUUCGACGUGUUGAGAAAUGGACGACCCAAAAUCAAUGAAACGUCGGUGUCUCCGGUGUCAAUCACAACAAAAUCCACCGGAAACAUGAACCUUCCAACAUGCAUAAUAACAUCUUCAACUACACCACUAAGCAAUUUUGUAGUUUUUUCCGCUAGUUGGAUGCACAUCUUAGUUGUUGUAAGUUGACCUAGGCCUAGUUUCUUGUACAAUGAAUAUGUCAUGACAUAUAUACUAGCACCUAGAUCUGCUAAACCUCUUUCAAUCACAACUUGACUAAUCAUGGAAGGGAGAAAGAAACUACCCAGAUCUUUGCGUUUGCAAGGGAGGUCCCUUGAGAGGAUUGUCGAGCAUUGCUCAUUGAGAUUGAUGUUGGAAGCUUCUAUGAGCCUUCGCUUGUUGGUGAAGAUCUCCCUUAGGAACUUGGCGUAUUGAGGCAUCCUUUCGAUUGCCUCGACGAAAAGAACGGUGAAGUUCAUAUUGCAAAGUCGAAGCACAAGUUGCUUUAAGCUCUUCUCGAGAAGAUCCUUAUCCAAUUGGUUGGGAUAAGGUGGCUUAGGGUUGUAUGGAGCCGACUGGGGCUAGGAGAUAGGAGAAGCCUCAGUUGAACUCUUCGUAGCCUUCUUGGAACCAACUUCAGUUGACACCUUUGGCUUUCCAUUACUCUUUGGAGCUUUCGGAACUAAUGCAUGCGGAACCGGUGCACUUUCUUCGACCAUCACUUCAUUCUCUUAAUCACUAGAUGCUUCAUUUUUCAUUAACAUCUUUCACAAGAAAUUCAUUAUCAUGCACAAGCUUGCUAGGUACAUCGAUAGGAGGAUCGAUUAAAUUUAGGAGUUGUGGACACAUAGUGUCUCAUGCUCCUAGUUGUGAUAGAUCCACAAGUUUCCUUGCUCUUUGGAUUGGUUAUGAUAUUUCUAGGUAGAGUGCACGGUUGCCGACUUGAAAGAGCGUGUGUGAGGUAUCCAACUUGAUUCUUAAGAUCCACCAUUUGAGCUUGAGUUGAGGCAUUGUGGGUGUCUUGAAAUGCUCUUUGCUCUUGAGUCACCUUGUUGUGCUCUUGGAAGAACUUAGCUUGAUUCUCAAUCAUUUGGUUUCCUCCAUUGAAGCUCCCUUGAACAUAAUCAACUUCUUUAAUGAAGUGCUCUUCCUCCGGUGCGAAAUCGGGAGCAAGGGAUUGGCAAGUAGAGGUGGCAUGCCCUUCGUUCCCAUAACAUUCACAAACAAAGAGUUGCACAACCAGUUGAUUCACCUUUGGUUCUUGUACCUCUUUCUUUUGAGGUGGAGUGGCGGUUGGUCUCACCACCGGUUGAGCCAAGGCAAGUGCUUUGAUUUGAGCCGCCAUGCCAUCCAUCCUUGAUAGCAUCAAGUGAACAAGAUGGUUGGGAUCUUCCUCCUUAUGUCCCGGCAUCUCCUUAAGGACCUUUGGAGCUUGAGUGCGAGUACAAACAUAAGGAUCUAUGCUCACCACCUUAGCUUCUAUAGGACCUUGUUGCCUAGACCAACUCUUCAUCUUCACCGCCAUUUCCCGGAAGACUUGAAGCCAUCAUUUGGCGAGGAGUGAUCUCAAGUCUCCUCCCGCCGCUUGAUUGGUCAUCUUGGUGUCCUCAUAAGUGAGUCCUCAUAAGUGAGUCCUCUAGCAAAGGUCUCCGCGAGUUUCCACUCAUUGAAGUUGAAGUUGUGAUGAGGGCAAGAGUAGAGAAGGGCUUGGGACCUCUCCCAAGCUUCAAAGAAUGGCUCUCCAUUAAUUUUCUCAAAGUUGGAGAUUCUACUUUGGAUCUCAUCCGUCUUGUAAGGCAGGAAGAAUUCCUCCAAGAAGGCCUUUGCUAGAUUGUCCCAAGCUUGGAAGGUAUUGUUUCGUUGGUUGUCGAGCCAUUGAUUUGCCUUCCAUUGGAGUGAGAAGGGAAGAGUCGGAGUUGAAUGGCUUCUUGCGACACAUGAUUGAACUUCAUUAGAUCCAUGAUCUCGAGAUAGCUACUUGGACAUUCGUGCUCGUGCCCAUGGUAUACGUUUUGUUGCACCAUUUGAAUGUAGUUGAACUUCAACUCGAAGUUCCGGUUAUCAAUAAGGGGUGGAGCACACUUGAAGAAGUACCUUCAAGAGUUGGCUUAGGUAAUCACCUAGAGUUCUUUGAGGUUCUUGAGCCAUCUCAAAGAUGUUAACAAAUUCAUCAGCCUCUCCUUUGCAAGAUGAAACAAUUGAUGAGUGAUCCAGGGUUGUUAAAGAAGUUGCGAUGUGAGGUGGUGGUGGUGCUUGAGGUGGAGAUGAGAUGAAUCUCUUUGGUAGACGCCUUGUACGCUUCAAUCUUCUCAUGCACUAAUAGUGCAUGAACGGAACCUACACAACAAAGCAAACAACCAAGGGAACACAACAAAGGAAUAAACACACAAGAAGGGGGUAGCAAUAAGUAAAAUGGAUUAGGUAGAAUGCCUAAAUCGGUGUCUAAUCUACUCUUUCAAGGGGGUGAUUACACUCCCCAACAAUGGCGCGAUUUUGAUCCUCUAAAAAAGAACCAAACAAACAUGAUCGGCUAAGAAAAGGGACUAAUCCCAAACCCAAGGUCUCAAGUGACAAUUUUCACGAGGAACAGACCACCAACCCUAUACUCAACUAUUAAAGACACGGUUUAAGCUCACAAAAGUUCAAAAUGCUAGUUCCUUAAAUUAUCCACUAAAGUACAUAUCAUUCACAAGAGUAAUUGGAACUAAAUUAAGCUAACGAACUAAGCAAACAAGAUACUAAAGAGGGUGAACACAAGGAGAGGAGGGUUGCUAGAUUUCGGGUGUUGUUUUUGCACUCAAAUCCGAUUCAAAAGAAAUAUUGGCCACACUGGAAAAAAGUUAUGGUUUGACCAUCCUCUAAACAUUCGUAGCAGUGUAAUUCAAGGUCUUAAAUUGGACUACCACUACCAAUUGGCAAGUGAGCAAGCCAAUUGGUAGUGAACACCAAGUGUUCAACAAAAUUCUUAGAUGCUAAAAGACUUACUGGCAUCACAAACACUUGACAAGGGUGCUAAGUCACUAUUUGACACCCCCUAACAUUCCAAUCGCCUAAAUUGUCACUACCUAAGUGAUUACCAAAAUGCACUCAAGGUGUUCGAUAAAAUGCCACUAAGAGAAUCCUCACACUAAAGGUUGAAUUGGGGUGUGUGCUUGGUCCACACACCCUUAAUCCAAUCUUGGACUACACACUUACUCAAGUCAAGCACAAUUAAGUAAUUGAAAGAGUGCAUUUGACCUAGAACAAGCCAUAGCACAUUCUAAGUUGCAAUAACCAUAGUCCAACCAUUCUCAAAUACCAUAAUCCAUAUCCAACAUGUAUCCAAACUCUCAUCAUGAGGGGAUCAUCCUAGUACAUAGCAAUACCCUAAUCUAACAACUAAAGAGUCUAGCCACUCAUCAUGACACUAAAACUAAAGAAAAGGGAUACAAUCACCAUCAAACAACUAGAAUGAAGAAGAUGAUGAGGGUAGGAUCCUUCCUCCAAGCUCUACUAUUACAAUUCCUUCAAUCCUUGGUCUUCUCUAGCUCCCAAGCUUCUUCAAGGUCUUCAAUUGACCUUUUAAGGCUUCAAAUUGGGGGAAAAUCGAGAGAGGAGUCAUAUCAUCAUACAUCUUAAUAUUAUCUCUAAUUGGGACCACCUCAAUAUUAUCUGCAACAAUCUCAUCCUCAGUGUCAACCUCUAUGGCAAGUAGCUGUUGUAACUCCGUUUCUGAAGAUGAUGCAACCACUCCACUAGAGGAGGCAUCACAAUGAACAGCAAACCUACAUGAACAAACUCUAUACGAUUGAGGUUACCAAACAAAUCACCCCACACUUAUCUUUUGCAUAAACCAAUAUGCAUUAAUCAAGCUGUAGAAAAAGAGAAGAGUGGGCUUAGAAGCAACUAUUGAACAUCUCAUCCAAAUAGGAAAUCUGUCAUAAUAAAGAAUACUCAACAUCAUUAAGGCAAUCCACGUAAGGUUUAGGGCACUUAGAAACUAUCCACAAAGUCACACAAACAAUGUAAGACAUGUAAAAUUUCAUAAAUUCUUAACCCAGAAAAAUACCGAGCAAAACUCAACAUUCCUAUGACACCUAAUCAUAUAAUUUCAAAGUGCAAAGGAUGUCAUUAACAUCCUAUAUCAUACCCAAUUGAAUUCUAGCAUCAUCAAUUUCACAAAACCUCAUAUUUGAAAUUUCAAGUUCUUCAAGCUAAUCAUCAAUCUCAACAAUUUAACCAAUCAGGGCAAAGUGAACAAGGAGAAACUGGGCAAAAUUCAAUGUAAACUAGCUCAAAACUCACUCAAAGUUGAUGAAAAACGAAGGGGGGAGAUUGGGGGAGGGUUCGGCGGUGACCGACAACGGUUCUAUGGUGACAGGAGUGCGGAGUUUUGAAUGACGGCAAAGGGGUAGGAGGGUGGAGUCGGCGUCAGUGGAAUGUUUGAAAAAAAUAUGGUUCAAAAAUCGGCUAAGGCUAGAAUAUUUAGAAACCCGUGUCAACUAUUGCAUUGUAGAAGUGUCAAAAAUGCGGUAUGGACAUAGCGCAAUGUUUGACAAAUCAUAGCGCAAUGAUUGAAAGGAUUUCCAGAACUCAAUGUCAACAUUUUUUCUAUAGAUGGUCAAUUAUUGCGCUAUGGGCAUAGCACAAUGCUUGACACAGAUCCAUAGCACAAAGGUUGACAUCCUAUUAUGUGAACUUCCAUAGUUCAUGAAAGAAUCAACACUCUUUGCAUUGACGACUGGGGACAAGAAUGACACUCAAGUAUCACGUUCUAGACUCGAUCUAACUCCUACACAUGCAAAUUGACUCAAAGAAUAUGAAAAAUACUGACUCCAGACAUGGGCUUCCUUCCAUGAAGCGCUCUUUCUUUAACGUCUUUGAGCUAGAUGAUACAAGGACCUCAAUUUAGCAUCUUCAAAGUAAUGAACUUUUACUCCAUCGGUAGGCUUGGUACUGAGAUAUAGCUUGAGACGUUGACCGCUGAAUUUAAUGUUCCUUGGUCCGGAUGUGUGAUCUCCACAAAUCGGUAGGGAAAUGAUUGUGUGACUUCAUAAGGUCCCGACCAUCUUGAUUGUAAUUUUCCCAAAAAUAGUCAGAGCUGGGAGUUGUAGAGCAGCACCUUAUCUCCCUACUUGAAUUCUUUGACCCCUUGAAUAUUAGCAUCGUCGAUUCGUUUCAUCCUUUCCUUAUAUAUACAUGAGCUCUCGUAAGUAUGAAACAUGUGCUCCUCUAGCUCAAGGAGCUAAUAUUUGCAUUCUGAAGCUACGAGACUAUCAUCCAUGUUUAGCAGCUUCAUGGCCCACCAUGCAUUAUGCUCAAGCUCGACCGGUAAAUGAUAAGCCUUUCCAUAAACGAAUCGAUACGGGAAAGUGUAGAUAGGGAUCUUGAAGGCGGUUCGGUAAGCCCAUAGAGCUUCAUCGAGCCAAAUCGACCUGUCCUUAUGAGACUGAUCGACUGUGCUAUCAAGAAUCUGCUUAAGCUCACGAUUCUUCACCUCCACUUGACCGCUUGCAUGUGGAUGGUAAGCGGUCAUCAAUCAAGGAGCUAUGCUAAAUGUUUGGCAAACUCAAUAGAAUUGACCCUGAAAGUGAGUGACUUUAUCGCUAAUGAUAGCAUGAAGGCCGCUGAAACGCAUGAAAACGCAUGUAAUAAACUUUCCCACUGUCAGAACAUAGUUAGUAGACAGCGGUUGCGCCUCUGCCCACUUUGAGACAUAAUCCACUUUGAAAUGUUACAUGUACGUUGGCAGUUGAUUUUGGGCUUUAAUCUGAAUUCUGUGAAUUUUGGAAAUUGGCUGAUCAAUGGACAGUCACAGGCAUGACAGUCAGUCUAUCACGGGAAAGGUUGUCAGACAGACCACGACCGUUGUCAGCAAACAUUCAUGGGCGUGACCACUGGAAGAUCAAGGGCUUGACCAUCAGGAGGUCAUGGUUGUGACCAUCAGUAGGUCACGGGCAUGGUUUCUAUGUGGCCACGGGUAUGGUGGUAAGUUGGACAUGGGCGUGGUGGACUUAUUAUAUAAGGACAGUUGCAACUUACAACUCAGAAUUACUGAAACCUAAGAACUUUGAAUCCCUCUGCAAAUGGCAAUCAAUUUCAGGAGAUGGAGAAAUCCCAUUUGAUCUAAUCCCAAAUCAUUAGGAAAGGUCUAGAAAUCGUUGAGGAUGCUUCCAAAGCUACUCAAUCUUCUUCCUCCUUUCUCAAUCCUUGAUUGGAAAUCCUACGUAGGAAAUUCCUGACACAUUAGGAUUUGGGGUUUUCAGAUUUCAAUCCUAUGAAUUAAUCUCUACGGGUCAGACAGAACAUGAGGCUUGAUCUUGGGAAGGUAGCUUCAUAUUAGACUCUACUAGGAAAGCUAAUCAGAGGUGGGGGGUUAGGAUUUCUUUUCUGCUUUAAGUGUAGAACUGUAAUUAGGAUUGUCAGGAAUCCGAUUAUUAGAUUCUCAGACUGUGUAGUAGCAUAUGAUUUAUUGUACAUGUGUUGUGAUUUGAAGGGCUCUCAAGACUGUGCAAUAGCGUGUGAUCUACUGUACAUGUAUUACGAUUUUUAGAGCCAAGCUCUUAGUAUUGUGCAGUAACGUGUGAUCUACUGUACAUGGGUUGUGAAACAGAGCCAGGCUCUCAGACUAUGUAGUAGCGUGUAAUCUACUGUACAUGCAGUUGUUUAAUUUCGAGCAUAAGCUCAUGGUGAUUAAACUAUGCUUGUGAUUCACAGUUCAUGUUAGGACAGGAUCAUGUUUAGCUAGAUUAGCUCUCGAUAUGCAUUGGUCACCCGCCCAUGGAUUGCGCAAUCCCUUAGGUCAUGUUCAGGCUCAUGUUGGACGUGUCGAGUAUGCCUAUAGAUGCUGCUCACACGGUUUUCAGGAUGGUUUCAUAGUUUGAUCCACCAUGAGGCUAUCUACCAUAGCUAGGGGUGGUUGUUGUCAAGAUGAUGCCUACAACCUGUGAGUAAUGCAUGGGUCGAACCAUGUAGUUCGAUUGGGUCUUCUAGGGGCGUGUUUCACGGUAAUCUUCUAUAUAUGUCCCGAAAGCAAGGAUGGUGGCUAUCUCGGUAAACCACUAGCGCUUGUAGAGGUGAUGAUCCGAGACUUCCUUUGCUUCUUCCAAGAGAAAUAAUUGAUCAUCCAGAAAGAGCUCAUUUAUCUCUGCUUCAGCGAAUCGACCCAGAGAAGGCCCUUCAAGGUGCGAUAGGUGGUUAGCUGCAACGUUCUCUGAUCUCGCCUUGCCCUUAAUAGUCAUGUCAAACUCUUGAAGGAGUAGCACCUAGUGAAUCAAUCUCAAGUUCCCAUCCUGUUUAGCUAUAAGAUACUUAAGAGCAAAAUGGUCGCCGGAAUCUGGGCAGAGGUCGCCAGCGGUAACGGCCUCACUAGAGAAGAAGGGUGACCUCCCCACAAUCAUGAGGAGUUCAGUGACCAGAUCUGCAAAGUCUGAAAGAUAAGUUGCUGUUGUGCAUUUGAAUAUUCUAAAGUCUAGCUUCCGUAGCUCUGAAGUUUUGGAUGGUUUACAGUUAUGGACCUUGGUCAGAUUUUUUAUCAUUUGGAAGUUCUAGAUCAGUUAGUGUAAUGGAGGUCAUUAGAGGACUAGAGUAACAUUUAUGUCCUUAAAAUUUUCAGAUUAUUGCAAAUAAGUAAAUGGAGAAGAACUCGGUCGUUUGAGCUCCAAAUGACGCACGGUUAGAACUUACGGAUUUAUGGCAACGAGAGAAAUCAUGCCAAGUUAGGAUCAAAGGUGUCAGAUCUUCUUAACAGGUGGGGGUUUAGGAUUACAUUCUGCUUAUAAGCUUAGAACUAUAAUAGGAUGUUAGGGAAUCCGAUUAUUGGAUUCUUCAUGUGAUUCAGAGCAAGGGCUCUCAGGAUUGUACAAUAGCGUGUGAUCUACUGUAUAAAUGUUGUGAUGUGAUUCGGAGCAAGUGCUCUCGGACUAUAUAGUAGCGCAUAAUCUACUCUAUAGAUGUUGUGAUGUGCUUUGGAGUGUGGGCUCUUAGGCUGUACAAUAGCGUGUGAUCUACAGUAGAGGCAAUUAUUAUAAUUCGAGCAUAAGCUCUUGGCGUUUGGACUGUGGCAUGUGAUUCACAGUUCAUGUUAGGAUAGGAUAGGCCUAGAUAGACUAGGUCACAAUUAUGAUACGUCGGGCACCCACCCAUGGAUUGCACAAUCCCCCAUGUUAUAAUCGGGCUCAGGCAGGACGUGUUGAGUAUGCAUACUGAUGCUGCUCAUACGGUAUUCAGAGUGGUUUUAUGGUCUGAUCUACCGUGAGGUCAUCCACAUAGCUAGGGGUGGCUGAUGUUAUGUUGAUGCCUACUGGACCAGAUGGUCACAUUACUAGAGUAGUGACUACAUAGAAUUCCAUGUUCUAUUCUUAGUACAGGUCAGUUUCAAUCUCAGUUCUACGCGAGUCCAGAUAGCCACUUAGUGUUUAUCACUAACUCUAUUAGAUAUUAUUUUCUCUGGUGUAUAUGUGUGUUCGGUCACAAGAACUGGAGCUGAUGGUGGGGAGAGAGCUAGUCGGAGUUUUGAUAUCACAUGAUAUAUGUUUUGAUGUAUUUUCAGUACUAGAGUUGCAUCUCCUUUUAUCAUGUUGUGAUUUGGGAUCCGAGAUCCUUGUUGGUCAAUUUUAUCAAAGUAUUUCGGUUCAACUUUUAAUGCUUGUUUUUGCUCAUUUAUUAGUAGUAGAGAGUAGAGGUUGGUUCAGCUUGGAACCCGAUAAGAUUUCUUGAUUGAACCAGUGGUUCGACCAAAACUCUUAGGGUGGGGUUUCAGAGAAAAUGUGAUAGUGAAAUAUACAUUUCCCAAAAAAAUUCAUCUUCCCACCGAUAAGUUUUGGCUAUUUUCGUAUUUUCAUAAUUACCUUUAUUUUAGAUUGUAUGAUUCAAUUCAUUACCAAUUGUCAGAUUAUGUUGUGACAUCAUCAUUUCUAUCAAACGAACAACAUUGGCUCCAUUUAUAGGAUUUUAUCUAUUGCAUAUAAGACUAUUGGAUCCAUUUUGAUUUGUAAAAGUGGGUCCUACUUCCAUCUCAUUUUGUUUUGAAAUUUUGCAUACUUCACUUUGAAAGGCUUCUCAUUAAUGCAAUUCAAAAACAUUUGCAAAAGUGGACUUACAUGAAUAAAAUGAUCAUUUCUUAUAUAUUAUUUUAUUAGCAAAUAAUGAUAUGAGAAGGCCCAAUCCAUUGGGUCUUGAUCAGAAUGGCACAACCUAUUAAAAAUACCUAUUUUGGCAUAACAUAAUUAUAAUUUUACAAAAUAAAAUAUUUAAUUGACUUUUUAAAACUCAAUACAAAAAACUAAAAAAAUAUCAAAGUUCAUCAUAUUCUUCUCCCACCACCAUCCUAUCUCCACUAUCUUCUUAUCAUCCCCAUCAUCCAUUGCUAAACCCAACAAUUACUUUCUCUAAAUCUAUCACUUACCAAAUCCAAAAUCAUAUUCAUUUGUACACACAACCAAGUAUGCAAAUUUUAGAUAUGAUUUGUGUUGGUUUUUUAGAUCUGAUUUUGUCGAUCUCGAAGGUGAAGAUGAUUGACGACGGGGAAGGGGACUCUAAUACCCAAAUAUGCUACUGGAGAAUAAUCCAUCUUUCCAGACUAUUGCAAUUCAUACCGCUCCUUGAAUACUUACAGAGAAAGACGGCGCAUCGAGCUCAAAAGGAGAGGGUAGCGAGCAAUCGAAGGAGAGUAGAAAAAGCCGUUGCAAGCAAAAGAGAAAUCGACCACCAGAUCUCCUAGGAUUCCUCAUCUGAGGAAGCCAUCAAGAGAUUUUUUCCUAUAAGUCAGUUCAGCUACUAAAGCUACAAGUGGUGAUGAUGAAUAAGCUUCCAUAAGUGGUUCGCUGGGUAUCUCUACUUUGACCUCCUUCAUGGGAGCUCCGUCGUCGCCGCUGGCGACCCUAAAAAAGAACAUGCAUUUAAACGCGUUUACACACUAAACUAAAAAGGAGAAUGAAAGACUAUAAUUGGAAUUUCAACAACAAGAGAAAGUUAACUUCUUUUUUCUAAUCCACCGUCGGGAGGAGCAGCAGCAAGCUUCGCCCGUCUUCUUCCCUUUUGGGAUUUUUUUGAAUUAAUUAAGAAUUUUAUUAAUUAGAAGUUUAAAAUUAUAUGAUGUGGAGCCUAUAUUGAAGUCAAGUGGGAGGUACGUCAGGGGUGUUAAGUUUGACUGUUAAGUUGAUGGUCAAAUUUCAAAUAUGUGCCACAAUAAGUAUUUCUAAUAGGUUAUGCCAUUCUGGGUUUAGACCCAAUAGGUUGGGCCUCCUUAGAUCAUUAUUCAUUUUAUUAACUACAUAUAUGUUAUAAAAAUGUAUAAGUGACAAGUGGGUCUCAAAUGAUUAAAAAAUAUAAAUGAAAAAAUGGGCCACAAGUGAGAUUAUCACUUUGACUUGGAACGAGUACAAAUUUGCACUUAAAAUGAUCCUUUCCCAUCAAUAAUAUUCUCAUUUAAAUUUAAAAAUUGCCACAUAGGCUCCAUGUUACUUAACAAGUAGGGAAAAUCUCAGUGAUAAGAUGCUAUAAUAACAAAUAAUCUUGAGGCCAAAUCCAAUAACUGAGCAUGCCUUCUACAUGUCGGACUCCACCAUAUAAACACGGCCCACGUUAUAAUUGAUUCAUUAAAAAAAAGAAACAAUUUGAUGAAUUGAUGAAAGAAGCGAAAGGCAAAAGAUGGAAAUUGUCGUUUCUCUUCCUAAAACUAGGGUUUUGUUUCUCUCACUAAAAUUAGGGUAUCUCUUCGUCAUGAAGACUUCCUACACCCCCAUCGCCAUCAUGCUCAAGCACAAACCUACUCCUAUCAUCAACAAACCCAUCCCACCUACCGAUGUUGUCAUCAAAACAAGACCGACCCUUACUGCACCCAUGGCCUCCCUAUCGUUGAAGGAGAGUCAUGGCUCGGAGGACCUGACCGGAAUGACAUGGCUGACGAUUGGAUACCAGAGCUGCAGCAAUCUGGAAAGCCCCACAAAGAUUCUCCGCCGACAAAGACCAGCAGGUCAACACUAAGGAGAGGCGGUGUUCCUCCGAUCUUCGAGCUACAGGGGAGCGAGACGACUCUACCCCAUACACCAUAGUGACAUCGCCGGUGUGGACAUCCGAUCAUUCCAUUCAAAGCUCAUGAAGAUCGGCUACACUUGUGUUUGGCUUUCUUUAUUUUUGUUUAGUACUCUCUUUUUAGACAUUUGGUUGAUUUUCAGUCGUACGUUGCACUUCAUUUGUUUCCUUCCUUGAGUCGGGGUAUAGUUUUGUUAAUUUUUUUGUUUAUUUCGUUGCAUCUAAAACCGUUGAUGGUCGAAGAGAUUAAAACUGUAAAUAAAAUAUUCAAUUACCUACUUUCCCCUUACAUCUUUUCUAAAAAACAACUCUCAAUUGCAUUUCUCAUGGUCAAUGUUAUAUCACGCCUCCCUCUAUAAAGAAAUUAUAUUUUGUAAAAAAAAAAAGCGAAAGGCAAAAGAUAUCGCGAGACCUAGUUCUAUAUAAACCCAUUCCAUUCGCAGGUUACGAGCGGCCGUCAUCGCUGUCACAGGGCCAGAUAUGGGAAGCGCUAAAGCUGGCAAACCCUCAAAGAAGUCUCUCAGAAACCCUAAUCCGCUUCGCAUUACCCAUAGGAAGAUUACGAAGCACAAACGGCAAGACAUUGCUGUUGAUACAGUUCCCACCGCCCUGAAGUAGAAACACAACCUCAUAUCGGAGAAGAGGAGCCCCUUCCUUCAGCUUCCCAGCAACUCAGCUUUUUCCUCAGCAAGUUCCAGUCAGCUAAUGGUCUUCAAGGUUAGUCUCUACCGCUGGAGCUCCACAAUAUUGUAUCCCAUGACAUCUCUAUUUGGUUGCUGGACAGAGGGAUUAUUAACAAUUUGUGUAUUGUAUUUGCAGAAACAUCCUUUAUUCAGUUAUUUUGAGAGCUGCCUCAGGAUGUUGAGGGCCUAGGCCAGCAUUUGAAGACUGCUUUCGGAAAGUCAUGGAAAGAAGAACGCUGUGAUCGAAAGCUCGUGGAUAGGUAAACUGAACCAGAGAGUCCUGCUGCUCUUUUCAUUUCUACAUCUGCAUUGAGAGCAAUAGAACUUUUAAGGUAUAGAUUCUCUCAGUUCUUGUUAAUGAUCUUUGUUUUGCUCGAUUUAAUCAGGGUUUGGGCUUGAUUCAAUCUUCUUCUUUUAGGGGUGUGCGUUCACUGAGCGUUCACUGACGAAAGAAUGCCAUGCUGCAAAGCUCUUCUCUAAGCACAUGAAGGUUGAAGAACAUGUGAUAUCCUUUCCCUUUUGUCACUUGUUGUUCCUAUUACAUCGUUAAACAAAAUACUAUCUCUUUAUGUUUCGAGGUGUUGUCAUUUGUUUUGGAUAUCAUUCAGUUCCUUUUAUUAUUACUGCUGCUCGAGUUACGAACAUCUGAGGAAAUAGCAAUGCUUAGGAUGUUAUUGUCCACUUCACUGUCUCGAGACACCGACAUUGUCUUUAGUUAUUAUUUAUGGGUCCAACAAGUUAUGACUUGAACCAUGGUCACAUGGAACAAAAUUAAUUUAUAAAUUCGGACUUCUGUUUCAUCAGUGACAUUUUCACUCUUCGUCAUCAUAUACAUUUGGUGUUUGUUUGUUUUUGGUAAAAGGAUUUGAUAUUACCAGUUAUAAAGAUCAAAGGGCAGUAGCAGUGCAGGAUAAGCUUUUUUCACAUCAGUCUGCUUCUAGUUCAGUAUCUUAGUUUCAAUGAUUUAUGGCUGGAAGCAUGGAGCAGUAUGGAAUUUUUGCAAACAAUUGUUGGAUUAGGAAUUUCAUACUUCUUUUCACUGCAUUUUGAUGUUGGGAUAUGAUGAGUUACACGGAUCAAAUGCUCUAGCAGUGCUGAAUAUGUUUUUUGCACGUCAGUCUGAUCCCAACUUACCGUAUUUUUACUGCCCCUACCUUUAAAUGCAUGUCCGAGUUCUAACAAUAGAUGACUUGAGACAUGGAGCCUAUGAAUGGGGGUUCUCUGUUUGAUUUUAUGACAUUUUACAAUAAUUGUCACAAAUUUUUUUGACAUUGGAUAUGAUGAUGAGUUAGAAUCAAAGGCACUAGAGAUGCUGAAUAUGAUUUUUUGCACGUCAGUCUGAUCCCAGCCUUUCGAUUUCUGAUUACUGGAAUUUAAAAUUUUACUUUGUUUUCGUCAUUUUGACAUUGGGAUAUGAUGAUGAGAUGUAGAUCAAAGGCAUUAGCGGUGCUGAAUGUUUAUUUUGCACGUCAGUCUGAUCCCAGCUCACUGUUCCGAGAUUGUGCUGCCUUCUUGCAUUUCCUAGUUAAAAAAAUGUACUCCUUGGACAUGGAUCUAAACGAACUUCAAAAUAUGAAUGAUUAAGAUUUCGUGAUCAGUGUCAUUCAUAGUUUAUGAUCACUAAUUUAAAUCUCGUGGCAUAUCUUGCAGGGUGUUUAUAGCCAAUUAGAUGCCACACUCACUGAAAGCUUAACUUACGAUUUAGGUUCUGGUUGUGUAUCCCCCCCCCUGUCCACCGCCUUUAACCUUGUACUUCUAAGCAAUUGAUUGUAUUUCCUGAAUAAUGGCUACAUAUUUCGUAAUUGUUCAUGCUCUGCUGAUUAUAUUUUUGCACGUCUCUGUUCCUAAUAAAACUGCACACUAUUUUACGAAAAAAGACGUGCACGCUAAUAUCGUACACCAAUGUAAUAUAACACUAUUAACAACAAAAAGUUCUUAGUACGGGUUCAAUGUCAUCAUGCAACAUCCAUGAUGCCGUUCCUUAGUCUCUCUACGUGACUCUGUGUUGCAUUUGGUAAACUAUUUCUUAAACUUCUGGCUCCGUUUACUGCAGGUCACUUUCUUCAAGAAUCGUGUCAAUAUUGCCAGCGGCACACCAAACAGGUUAGUCACCAGUCAUUUCAUCUCGAUAUUGAUGUUACAAUGGGUCGUUUGGAUGAGGUAUUUGAAAGUGGUAUUUUGGCUCAAGUAACUCAAACUAAAGUUAUAACUGAGUUAUUUGGGCCAAAACACUUCGUUUUCCAUCCGAAAUAAAAGUCGUUAUAUUUCAUAACUGUGAUAUUUGAAAUAAUUAUGGAUGUGAUAUUUGAAAUAACUCAAUUUAAAACCAUAACUCAAAAUGAUAGCUAAACGAAUAAUUCUUAUCCCCCAAAUUCUUACAACUGAUCCAAACGAUUAAUGUUUACUUGCUCAUCCUUUUCGUUCUAGCUGAAUAUUUGCAUUUCCGAAAUAAUGCGCCCCACAUGAGUUCGGUAUACAUUGGUGAUUGCUUUUGCAAGUUUUCCGUGCAUGAAUUGUUGUGGUAUUCAUCAGAAAAUUACCAAUAGGAAAUAGUUAAGAGGUCGUAGAAAAUGCAUCGGGAGUGUCAUUUUAUAUUGUAGGGGCAAAAAUUGAUUUUGAUGAAUUUGAACUUUCUUGACUAGAUUCUUGAUAAAAAAAACUAUCUUGACUAGGUUGAAGAAGUUGAUAGAUAUAAAAGCAAUGGGGCUCUCGCGGUUUUAAAGUUAUCGUGCUAGAUGUCCACCAUGAUGUAAAGGGUUAUUCCUUGCUCACACUUCCACAAGGGGGAGAUAUAGAGAGAAUGUCCGGUCUCUUUUCAACACAGCGAGGAGCAUAGUCGAUUUUGUCAUGUGAAGAGUUGCUGUUGUACAAGUGUUAGUUUGUUAUUUUGACAGGACACUUUUUCAAUUAUUCAAAACUUAUAUUCUAGCUAAGCUAAGGGUAAAUAUCCAUUUUGUAAUUUCACUUGUUGCUGCUUCUACCAAGAGACAGCACACAAGGAAUUAUACUCAUCGGCUUCCUGGCCGCAAUUGAGUUAAAUCUUCUUUUCGGCCCCUAGCGUUUAAAAUAAAAUAAAUCUUUCACCGGCUACCUUCAAAAUCCUCUGUUUAUCUUUCCUUUGAUCUUAUCAAAUUUUUAUAGUGACAAAGUUUGUGAAAUUACUUAAUAAAAAAAAGAAAAAAUUAUUAAACAAUUGCUAAUAUUUAGGCCCGACAUUCGAUAUAGCACAUGUUUUUUAUAAUAUUUUUUUUUGCCCAAAUUUCAAAUUAUGUUAAUUCCUUUAAGUUAAAAUUAACGGAUUGGUGACAAAUGCUGACAAGGCAAACAAUGUGUCUGAUGUGGAUGGAUGAAAAGAAGUCAAUCGGAAAUAAAUACACAGUCAACAUACAGUUAAAAAAUUUUAUAACAAAAACCACCCACAUUCCUUAUCCUCUUCGUCGACCAGCCUUUUAUCACCCACCUGUCACCUCCCUUCUAAAUUAAUUUUCAUCAGAUGGGGAGAAAGAGUGGAAGAAGAAGAAGAAGAAAGAAAGAUGGAGCAAGGUGCAUUUGAUUUGAAUCCCGACAAUGUCGACAACAAUCUUGUAUCUAAAUUCUUUGUCGAUUUGAAUUUCGAUGAUGCCAACAACAACCUCAUUCUUGAACUCUCCGUCGAUUUGAAUCCCGACGAUCCCAUCAACAACACCAUUCCUGAACUCUUCGACAAUUUGAAUCCCGACGAUGCUGAUAACAACCUCAUACCUGAAUUCUCCGUUGAUUGAAUCUCAAUGAUGCCAACAACGACUCUCUAUCGUUGUCGAUGAAAUGCCCAAGCUUGUGGAGAGAUGGAUACAGGGAGUAGUAGCAGGUACAUGUCCAAAUAUGGAUGUUGAGAAAUCCUCCUCGGCUGUCGAUUUCGAAUGGUCCCCACGUUUCAAAUUGAUUUUAGUGUUCUUGCUGGGAGUAGGUUUGCACGCGGCUGAGAUUGGGUUUAUCUGUUUGUUGCAAAUGAAUGAAUUGAAUUGGUUGGUUUUUUAUUGGGGGUGGGUUUUGCAAGCAAGUUGAGUUGUUUGAUUGGUUUGAAGUUUUUUUUGUCUUGAUUGGGUUUUGUAAAAAAUGCUAGCAGAAUACUGACAAUGGAGGAGAAGGUGGAGGAAGGAAAAAGAAGGUGGAGGAGAUGAAUGAUUUUUUUGGUAGCUGAGUUAUUAUUAUUUAAUGAAAGGAGGUAAAUAAAAUUUACCUAACUAAGCUGACGUGACCAGUGAUUGUUAUGUGGCGUCGGACAUGGUAUCUUGAUGAUUUUCUUCUUACGGCGUUUCGUGUUUGGUUAACUAUAACGGUCAACGACAAAGUCAACUGAUUUUCGUUAGUGUGAUUUGAAUUUUGUCAGAAAAAAAUGUAUUUCGGAAAACAUGUGCCAGAUCAUUUGUCGGGUUAAAACAUUGCCAAUUGUGUUAGCUAAUUUUUCCUAAAAUAAGUUAGUGACAUUUUAUCAAGUCGAUCUACACUACAGGAAACUAGAUGUUUAACAACAUCAUUUUUUCUUGUUGACGACAACCAUUUCCUGUUGUUAUGUAUCAUAACGGCGGCUUUGAUUGCGCUAUUAAGAUUGCCAAUGCAAAGAGAUCCUACCAGCGAAAUAUUGGCCGCGGUUAAGUGGGGAAGCGUAACAGCGAAUAGCUGGCCGCUGUUAGGUUGCAUCCUAAUAGCGAAAUAUGACCGAUGUUAGACGAAAUUCUAAUAGUGGCAUUGUGUCCGUUGUAAGGAUUUCGCCUAACAGCAACUACAUAUCCUCAUAGUUUUCUUAUUAUUUUAUUUUUUUCGUUUGGCUAUUUUCCAUAUAUAUCCAACUUGUUCAAGUAAUUUUUUCGAUAGGUAGAUAGAAAUACAAAUUUGGGAAACACUUUGCUAAAUAUAAAACUAGUCAUUUUGAUUAAAUAUUUGAUUGUUAGGACACAUACUAAUUCCUUGGCUUAAACUACACCAUCCUUCUAAAGUAACUACUUGAUUCAUAGUUGUUCAUCCAACAUGUACAAUCCACUAAACAUAGACUACUCCUCUUGGUCGUAAUCAAGCUCAUCGUCCCUCUCAUUUGUUUCCAUCAUAGUGCUCGUUCACAUUUGUUUGCAUCAAAUGGCUGCCAUCAUACAUUUGGAUUUAGAACAUCUGCCUCAUCUCCUCCAAAUCAUGAGAUAAGCCAACUUGAGAGUUGGCAAGAUGAGCUAUACACCUACAAUACACCAAAUAAAAGUUAGUUUUUUUAUCCAAAAAAAUUUGCAUGACCAAUUCGAAUUCACGGUUUAACUUAUACUCUUUGAUCUACAAAAUGAACAAACGAUACUAGAUUUGGAAGGACAAGUUUCGACAGCUACAAUGAAUCAAGGAAACCUUUUACAUCUACAUUAUCAAAACAUAAUUGCAGAAUUAAAAGUAUAAACCAUGAGUAAGGUUGAAUGAUAAAAUUUUCACUAUUUAGAGGUGUCGGUUAAAAUGUGCAAAUUGGAUAAUAAAUUUGCAUGGGAAGGAUGAUUAUGUAGAUUACGUAAUAAACUAACAAAUACAUAUAUACUUAUGAUUUGAAUGGGACUUGUAAGUUAAAAUUGGAGGCGCCCCUCUUAAUUUGUACCUAUUGUAUGUUCACUAACCACCCAUAAUAAAAACAAGCAAGAAAAAUUGGAUUUGGUGGAUCACUCGAUGAAGAAACAAGAUUCGAAACUAGCCCUCAUAACUUGAUUAGGUGAAGUUUCUACCUAUAACAGUCCAACUUAGUGGUAGAAUUAAUUUAGGAUUAAUGCUGAAAAAUACAAAUACUUAUUCAUUUUGCUUUCACUCUAAAUCCUAAAUGGCGCACCACUGUUCCUGACUUCUCUUUUUUGUUCUUCGAACGUAUACGAUAUGCCCUCGCCAUAGCAUCCUCCUUGCUAACCCCAUGUUAGUAUUUGGUUCCUUCAUAAACUGUUUGACUUCAACCUAUAUUCAAUCUCAAAAUCUUAAAUAUAUUAGAAUUGCAUCUUAUCAACAAAAGGUCAAAACACAAUAAAAUUAUAUGCAACUUACAUAAAAGUCUCAAGUAACAUAUGUUUCAUCUUCUCUUUCAUAACACUUGAAAAAGAACUCAGAUCUUCUUACUUCUUUUCCUUUCGCUUUCUUCUACAUUAUACGUUCUACAAUCAAUACAAAUUAACUUCUCAUGACUUUUGGAACAUAAUAUAAAGACGAUUGAUGAGAUGCUUACUUACCAUCUCUUCACGAAUUAUAUUGAAAGGUUUUGACCCUUUCGUAUGAUAGAUGUCUUGAUUAGAACGAUACCUUGUUUCUUUGCAGAUGCAGUCUAUAAAACUGCUAGUAAUUGACAAAUGACAAUAAUAAAUAUCAUUAUAUCAAAUAUAAGUACAAAUGUAAAACUUACUAGAGUUGGCUUCCCCUCCUAUAUCUGCAAAACAUAUCCCACUCACGUUCAUCAAUAUUUGGUGGUUUCCUGUCUAAGUUGAGCUGAAGACCUUGAGUAGCAUCGAUAUUUGGUGGUUUCCUAUCACGUUCAUCGAUACUAAUCAAUUUUCUUUGGAUAUGACUAAUGUAAUGAAGAAGAUAGAAGAGAUUAAAUCUAAAACCCUUAUGAUUACCCUGCAUUCAUAAAGACUGCAAUGCAAUAUGUACAGAGAGGCGUGGACACAUAGCAAAGUCCUUACAAUUUUGACAAUUACCAUCCAAUACAAUUUUGUAAGCUACAGCUAACAUUCAUGAGCUAAUAAGUUUUGUCAGGUCGGUUACGAAAGAAAACACACUUAACUUCAUAAACAAUAAUAAAUUAUGAAAACCCCCAAAUCAAAGUUAGGGCUCAUCUAAAUCAUUAACAAAUCAUACAAACUGAUUUCAAUCUCAAAAUUAAACUUAGACCCAGCACUAUAAAUAAGAUGUCUAACCUAAAGCUAGAACAAAACACUUCCAAUUCACUAAACGGAAAACAUUUCAAAGAUCUAGAUUUUACUAACCUUUCAAUUUUCUUGCUAACACAAGAUGACUGAUUGAGAUGAUGGACAGGAACCAAAAUGAGCCGCAGCUGGAAGGCCGGAGCAAGCGACGCCGGCACGAAGAAGAAAAACGCCAGCGAACGGCCGUUGGUGAAGAUACUAUCUGGCUGUGUCCUUUGUUCAAUUUGGGGAAAGUUGGGUUUUUACGUGGUGUUGGGGGGUUAUAUGUAUUUGGAGUUUCGUUUAUAUUAAUAUAAUGAAGAAUUAAGUCUCAUUUUGUUUGGGGCUUUAAAUUAAUAACCCAACGUCGGCUUGAUUCUCUACAUAGCCGCUGAUAGGAUUACUCUUAGCAGCUGCCAUCUAAAUAAGAGCCACUGUUAAGUUGUUGUAUUCCAUCAUAUUUUUUAAUUAUUAUCCUAACAUCGGCCAAUAUUAAUCAGGGCCGAUGUUAGGUAGUAAUAACGUAUCAGUAGCCUUCCAUUUAUUGUUAGGAUAUUGACCUAACAUUGAGACCAUGUCCGUUGUUAAAUUUUGUAUGUUAAAAUAUCCUAACUGCAGGUCUAUGUGGCUACAGUUAAAUUGGCAAUAUUAGGUAGUCAGUUUCUUGUAAUGCUACCUUGUUUAUCAUAGAAAAUUUGUUAUGACAAACGUGAUUGUUGUUGUUACAUAACAACACUCUAAUUUUCCAUCUAUUUUUAAUUUUAAAAAUUUGACAGUCUUAAUUUGUUGAAUAUUUUUAAUCUUUUUUACAUUUUUAUCUCUCAUAAAUAUGUCCUAAUUUUUAGUUAAAGAAUCCUCAUUCAAUUUCUAUUUCUAUUUCUAUUUUUUUACCUAUAUUUAAUUAAGUUAAUAACUUAAUAUUUCCUUAAUUGCUUUUUACAGGUUGUCAACGGAGUUCUGGUACUCCCAACAAGUGAGAAGAACGAUCAGAUUAGUAACAGAGCACAAACAAAGGUACAAAAUAAAUUACCAUAUCACAGUCUCAGGUAUAUAACUCCAUACAAUAGCACAUUCAUGGGUACAUAACUAGACAAAAAUUAAUCAAAAAUUGAUACUUCAAUACACGAGGUAUAAAAUGCAGUACCAUAUCACAAACCCCUUUUUUUUUUUUUUUUUUUUUUUUUUUUUUUUUUUUUUUUUUUUUUUUUUUUUUUUUUUUUUUUUUUUUUUUUUUUUUUUUUUUUUUUUUUUUUUUUUUUUUUUUUUUUUUUUUUUUUUUUUUUUUUUUUUUUUUUUUUUUUUUUUUUUUUUUUUUUUUUUUUUUUUUUUUUUUUUUUUUUAUUUUUUUUCUUUUUUUUUUAUUGUCUGUUUUUUUCUUUUAUCCUGUUUUUCUUCCUUUUCAAGAUCUUGAAAAGAGAGAGAAAAUGAGAGAGAGAGAAUGAGAAAGAGAAAACGAGGGAAAGAGAAUGAGAGCAAGAGAGAGAGAGAGGAGGAGAAAUUUUUGGAGUUUUUUUAUUUUUAGUGGCUUUGAUAUUGAAAAUACUAUAUAAAGAAUUUUAGAUGAAAUCAGUCAGUUGAUACAAUUAUUGUUGUUAUGUGCUAUUAUCGUAUGAUAAGCGGGUGGGGCUUUUCUUGUUUUCGUAAACAUCAAGAUUUUAUUGGUUGGGUCUAUGAUUCCAGCCUACAUGAUACUCAAAAGGGCCCUGGUUCAUCUGGAAAUGAAAAGUGCUUUAUGAACGUUUGGAUUGGUGCUUCCUUGACUCGGUUUGGUAACUUCAAUUUCUACCCACCUAUAUCGUGUUAAGUCGGAUCACCGACCUAUUUUCAUGGUUGCGACCAAGCUCAAGAAGUCAAAUCUUCCUCAUACCUUUCGCUUUAUGGCUUCAUGGUUGUCACAUGUUGAGUUUAAGCCUUUUUUUGUCGGAAUGGAAUCGGUCUUUUACCUUUAUUCAUCAGAUGUCCAUUCGAGCUACCAAACUGAAAAAAUGAAAUAAGGAAAUUUUUGGCAACAUCCAAACGAAUAGAAGGAGCUUAUCUUUAAACUUGCUGAUGUUUAAGCUCUCGCAGCUCCUCUACUCAUUCAAGACACCACAAUGGACAUUGCAAGUGACCGGAAUACUCAUUUUUUUCACGUAUCCACCUUCCGUAGGCGUGCUCGGAACCACAUUAUUAAGUGAAGGAUGACUGUGGGGUGUGUAUUCAUUAGGUUUGGGAGUCGGUUAAUUUGGUUAAUAACCAUCGGUUAAUGGUCGGGAAGCGCUUUGAUGAUUGAAAUUAAUUAACCAAAUUAACCGACCGAGCAAAAGCCACGGUUAAUCUUACCGACCGAUAACCGACCAAUCAGUUAAAUGAUCGAUUAUUAACAGACUGACUCUCGGUUAACCGUUGUAACCGGCUCUGACCAAUUUAACUCUCUUCUCAUAUUGCAACAAGAUUCUAGGCUCUGGCUCUAGAUCCGUCGUCGAUUCAAGCCUUGGAGACCAUAGCUUCUCUUCUGGAAACAAUCCGGUGCUCUACAACUUGAUCCUUCGGGACUGGAAGCUUUCCGAGACGGCGUUGUUGCGGAUCAGUAAGGAGAGGAGGAAGCUUCAAGCCUAUGGUGUUGCAGAUCGAAGAAUUGAGAGAGUGGAGGAGGAGAGGAUUGGCCGUGGCGACGAAGGAAGCAUGUGGUGUUGCAGAUCGAAGAAUCGAGAGAGUGGAGGAGGAGAGGAGCGCUUGCGGUGACUCGUCGUGGUCGUCGUCGUGACUGCCGGCGAGAUGCUGAAAUUGAAUCGCUUGGAUUGAUAGAGUUGUCGAGAUGGAUUGAUGGAGUUGUCGAGAUGGAUUGAUGGAGAUGGCUCGGAGUUAACCUAAUUUCAGAAUGAGAGGUUGUGAUGGAGUGGGAGGCUGGGAGGGGAGGGAGCGAUUCUGCGAUUGUGGUGAGCAAAGCUUGAUUUCCUAAUUGGGGACCUUGGUUUUUUUAAUUACCGGUUAACGUUGGUUAACUCGAGUUAACCAACGAUUUUACCCUGCUCCAACAAGUACUCCCAACUGUUCCCCGACCGACCCCUACCUCGGUUAAACCGACACUCUAACCGAGUCGAUCAGUUCAUCUGUUUAACCUAUUAACCGAGACUGAUGGCCCACCCUUAGUAUUCAUCCAGCUUGUUGCUGCAAUUAGUGUCGUAUUGAUAUGGUUGAGAGAGGAUAAAAUAUGCUUGAUUUCAAGUUCUCCAACUUGAAAGGUUUAGCUGUUAAAAAUGUAGAGGUCAUGACUGAGUACUGAUUUCCAGCAAGGAGAAGUUGGAUAUUUGCUUGCGAUAAAAAAGAAUUUGGACAGUCUAUCUUAGGCACAAAAUCUAACGGAUGAGAUGGCAACUUUACUUCAGGGGCCUAUUGGUCAUUUUAAAAUUUUCUUGUUUUUCAGUUUAUUUUUCCAUUCUGUUUAAUAUUGGUUCAAGUAAAAUGAUUUCUUGUAAAUUGGGUCUAUUGAGUAACGUGGGUGGGUAGACUUUAUUGCUCCCAUCGAGCUUGACGUGAUAUUUUCUUCUUCGUUUCUUUAACAUGCAUAAAUUGUAUAUAAUACGAAAGGUUGGAAAUAUAUGUGAAGCUCGAGGUUUAUUAUAUAUGUUUCGAGGUUUAUUAUAUAUGUUGAACCUUUUUGCCAAUUGGUUAUUUUUAUCAUGUAGUGCCUUAUCAAGUAAAGGGAAUGGUUGUUUUUAUCUACUGUCACUAGCCAACUUUCUUUCUCAUGUGAUCAAUUAUUUGAUCACGCAUGAAUGACUACAGUACACAAAAGAUAGAAAUAUUAUAAAAACAAAAAACAAAUAUUAAAAAAAAAUACCUAAAAAGCAGGUACAUAACAACAAAAACAAUAACCGUAAAUAUCAAGUACAUGAAAGCGGAUGCUCAAAAUAAGCACGCACACAUUAAAAACUUUGGUACAUACAAGGCAAGAAAAUCGAGAACAUAUUGGAACUCGAGUACCGGAAUUGGUACGGUAUUAAGUACAACGUGAAGAAAUAUCAAGUACAUUAAAAAGCGAGUAUAUAACAAUAGAAAUAAGUACACGAAAACAACUCAGAGAAAUGAUAAUUUGAUUGCCAAAAUUGAGUAUGAUAAAGUAAAAUGCAAGCACGUAGUACAUGAAACAAAUAUGAGUAAGAGUACAUAAAUUUUUUAGUACAAUACAAGACAAAAACUCAAAUACAUAUAAAAACUGGACACUAAAAAAAAUAAUUAAUUAUUCACAAUUUUAAAUAAUAAUAGUCACGAUUUUUAUCAUGAUUAACAGAAGCUAGUCACGAAAAUAAAUCCGUAACUAACCUAACCGAUGCUAGAUGAACUUGUCACGAAUCUGAAUAACCUGUAACUAAGUUGUCACCGAAAUUUUCCGUGACCAACUCAUCACGGAAGAAACCGUGAACAUAUGUGUUUUUGUUUUUGUUUUUUAAAUUAGUGGCACGGAGCCAUAUGCUGUGAUAAUUGAUUUAUUAAUAAAUUAAUCCCACAUCUCCGUGGCUACUAUAUCACCAGAAUUUCCAGAUUCCGGCAACCACAAUUUCCAGAAUCCGGCAAUAAGAUAGAGUUGAUAAUUGCUUUUUUAUUAGAGUAAAAUGUUCUACAUCUAUACAUUAUGAUACCCAUAUCAAAAUUCCAGAAUCCCAAAAUUGAACAUAACGUCAACGAAAGGCACCAUGCAACAAUGGUGACACUAAGGGUUACAACAACCAGCAAAACCGAAACACAGACUGGAAAUGCUACCAAGAGAAGGAUGAGACUAGAUGAUGAGAUUGAGAUUGAGAGAAGAAAAAUGAUAGUAAGAAAUUUUGUUUUCGAGAGAGAUCAAAUGAAGAUGAGAUCUACUUCUAAUUUAAUAUAAUGGAAAUGGAGAUAUGGUUGUUUAAUGGCAAAGAGAGAAGAAAGGAAUAGCCCAUUAAACGAGGAUAGAGUCUGCAUCAUUUCUUUUUUCGACCUUUUCCCACUAAAAUGCUAAUUUUAAAAUUAUAAAUAAAAGUUGGUCACGGUUCCAACAUUUACCGUGAGUAGUUGGUCGCGGUAUUCAACAAUCCAUGACUAGUUAUGGAUUUUUUUUUAUCUAUAAGUAGUUAGUCAUGGUUUUUAAAGCCGUGAUUAAUAAAUCGUGAUUAAUCGUUGAUUUUUUUUGUAGUGCGAGUAUGAGUAUUGAGUAAAACGUCAUGUACAAAAACAAGUACAUCAAAAGCGAGUACAUAAUUAUCAAAACAAGUACUAAAACGAGAGGAAAAGUACAUAAAAAGCGAGUAUAUAAUAAUAGAAACAAGUGCAGUAAAAAUCAAGUGCAUGAAAGGAAAACGAAACUCAAACUAAACACUAAUACAAAAAAAACUUUAGUACGCAAAUAAGUAAAUACAAGAAAAUUAACAUACACAAACGAAUACAUAAGAGUAUAGUGUUUAAACAAAGCGAUUAUACGGAUCAAUACGAUGUUGAGUACAAAACAACAACUUGAGGCUUUAUCCCUCAUUUUUAGAUGAUUUUGUACUAAGUUCUUAUAUGUAUUAGUUUUUAUUAAUGUAAUCCCUCGUGUACUUUGUCUUUGGAUUUAUUUUUAUGCCAUAUCUAUUUAUUUACGCAUUUGUGUAUACUUAUAUUUUUAGAACUUUAUACUCAAAUCAAUUAAUCAAACAAUAAAACUAUUUUCUCUUUACACGAACCAACAUAAUAACCCAUCACCCCAUACAGGGUUGUGAAGGAGGUGCAGUGACCAGAAUUUUCUAGUUGUUGCUUUUCUAUAGUUUGAUAAGGGUAAGCAUCUUGUUCUAGAAUAUAUGUUGUUAGGUUAUAACAAUGCAUCUAGUUGAGCAUGAUUCUUUGGUCAAGUGUUACUGGGAUUCUUUUUGUUCCACAUCAAUGCUCGGAGGUCGAAGAGGCAACGAGGGUGACGAAGAAAUCGGCAUCACCACGUGAGAGAAGAUGAAGAAGAGGUCAGAGAGUGGAGCCGGUGGAAAAGAUAUACUAGAAGAGGUACUUAAAGUUACUUGUACGACAAAACUGCCCUUAUUCAAUUGGACAACCCCUAGAUUAAAAUUUAAAAAUGAACGGACGCGAUUCGUUUGCGGCCAGCAAACACAUAAUAUCAUGGCUGCCUAUCCGGACUCGUCAUAACUGGCGUCAACAUUACGUAGUGUUGUCAAAAAUUAAAAAGGGGAAUAUAUAAUAAUAAUAAUAACAGACGUAAUCUUGUGUAUAUAAUGAUAUUAAAACGUUUUUCAAUCGACAAAGCCAAGUCUGCGGGAGGAACAGCUAAUGGACGAACAGCCUAAGCAUAAGCCGCCUUCUUCGUAUUCUUCAGAUUCUCUGAAUCUCUACCCUUUUUUUUU